RNAcentral lists this ribosomal RNA (400 nucleotides) under uncultured bacterium. RNAcentral describes it as "bacterial SSU rRNA". It matches the Rfam family "Bacterial small subunit ribosomal RNA", at positions 355 to 772 of the family's 1533-position model. The record is from RNAcentral.
UGGGGAAUCUUGGACAAUGGGCGCAAGCCUGAUCCAGCCAUGCCGCGUGAGUGACGAAGGUCUUCGGAUUGUAAAGCUCUUUUGCCAGGGACGAUAAUGACGGUACCUGGAGAAUAAGCCCCGGCUAACUUCGUGCCAGCAGCCGCGGUAAUACGAAGGGGGCUAGCGUUGUUCGGAAUUACUGGGCGUAAAGCGCACGUAGGCGGGUCUAUAAGUCAGGGGUGAAAUCCCGGGGCUCAACCUCGGAACUGCCUUUGAUACUGUGGAUCUCGAGUCCGAUAGAGGUGAGUGGAAUUCCUAGUGUAGAGGUGAAAUUCGUAGAUAUUAGGAAGAACACCAGUGGCGAAGGCGGCUCACUGGAUCGGUACUGACGCUGAGGUGCGAAAGCGUGGGGAGCAAA